GUGGUGCUUCUUGCUAUUUGUCUCCAGAAGAGCACAGCAGCUGCUCACAAUGACUGCUCUUGUUAUGCUUUUUCCUACCAGCUUUAUGUCACAAAACUAAGAUGCAAAGUCAUUAUGAUCCACCCGUGAUAAUGCCUGCUGGACUACAAUGUGCUCGGAUAAAGCAGCUAUUAUGUCACUCAAACGUGCACGAAAUCACAAACUGGGAGGGAAUACAACUAUUCUGAGCCCAGCUGAAAUCCUAUCCACUCUGAUCAAUAGCAGUGCUACAGCUUCAGUACAUUCAUUACAGGAACAGAGAUGAACAGCAUUUGAAAACAGACAGAAAAUGGACAAGGAUCCUUCCAACCUGAGUAGAAGAUUCUUUUGUUCACAAACAUCACCCCAGAAAUUCACAUGUCCUUGCUCAUCCCUACACGUGAACCUCAGUGUCUCUGGUUUCUAAAAUACAACACAGCAGUAUGACUGCAGCACAUUCAUUUCUUCCCUAGGACGACAGUCUCUCAGCACUAAAGUCUAAGAACUACAGCCAAAAUCCUCCAUCUCAAGCACAGGUUACAGAAACGGGUGAAACAGAACAAGAGAGGAUGGUUGGAAAAGCUCUUUGAAAUGAAAAAUAACAAAUGUGUGGCUGAAUGGCUGCCCAGAAUAAGAAACCCUUGGCAGAGAGAAAGAGAAAGAGAAGAAACUGUGCUGCUGGAGGCUUCAAAAGAACAUGGAGUACUGACCACCCCAAACCUCAACCUACAGGCGCGGCAGCCUGAUUUCCUCCUGAGCUCUAAGGAGCUCCCUGUGCACCACCUCAUCAAGGAUCUCAUGUGGGGACUGGGAAGGCAAUGCUUGGAGCUUCUGUACACUGAAAAACAAAUUAACCAUAAAAUAUGCUUCCAAAUACAUAAAAGAAAAUUGGCCUCCACCAUCGCAAUUAAAUAUACAUUACAGGCAACCUUC
Molecule: long non-coding RNA, 951 nt
Organism: Passer domesticus (house sparrow)
Lineage: Eukaryota; Metazoa; Chordata; Aves; Passeriformes; Passeridae
Exons: 5
Source: RefSeq, a predicted model, not a curated record